This is a long non-coding RNA of Zea mays, 1264 nucleotides long. RefSeq lists it as uncharacterized. The record is from RefSeq and is a predicted model, not a curated record. Lineage: Eukaryota; Viridiplantae; Streptophyta; Magnoliopsida; Poales; Poaceae. The transcript has 2 exons.
CCAUCUCUCUCCGUCUCCCCCACCGCCCUCACCACGCCAUGCAUCUCCAUCUCCCAUACUCCCACCAACGAAUGUAACGACGCGACAAAUCCCACCAGGUCACUACCACCACCACCAUGCCCCCGUCGUAUCCGAUUGAGCCAUGCGUGGCGGUGCUGACAAUAGGCGUGACACUUCCAGCAGCCACCGUCACUACCAUCCUCUCUCGCUCACCCUUGCCCCAUCCAAUCCUCUCCUUGCCUUAUCUUGUCUCGUUGGCAGCUUGGGCACGCACACUAGGUGUUCAACAGGAGUCCUCGCCGGCGCGGAAGAUGUACGUGGUCAAGCGGGACGAACGCCGGGAGACGGUGCAAUUCGACGAGAUCACGGUGCGCCUUAAGAAGCUCAGCUACGGCCUCAGUCAGGACCACUUCAACCUAAUGCUCGUCAUGCAAAAGGUCUGCACGUGGGUCUAUAAGGGCGCCACCAGCAGCCAACUCAAUGAGCUUGUCGCGACUACGCCUCGCUAGUGGCGAGGUUUAUUGUGUCGAUCCUGCACAAGAACACAAAGAAGUCCUUCUCGAAGACGUAAGUAACGUCUGGCUUUGGUUCAAUUUCAUUCAUUCAUAGUGGCAUGGAUUUGUUGGAUUAGGUUAUGAGUUGGGUGUGACUGUUAUGGACGCAAGAUAAAGGAAAUCUACAUGUACUUCAAUGAGACUUUUACGAUAUCUAAGAUGAUGGCCCCUCUAGUUGCUGAAGAUGUUUGUGAACUCAUCAUGAGGGUGAGAUUCUUGUUUGCCUUGCCACUUUUCUGAGAGGCCUCCUAUGUAAAUAGCUAGUCUCUCUCUCUCUUUACCGACCCUCCCUCUCCCUCUCCUCUCUCUAUAAAAGCUGGUCUCUGCCGUGCCGGAGCUCCUGGCUCACCCAAGCUCGCUCUCUCCCUCUUUUCCUCUCUCUCUCUCUCUCCUCGCUCGUCAUCGAGCCACCCGACGCCGUCGCCGGAGUUCGGCCGCGCCCGCGCCCUCCUCUCGGCCAUGCCCGUGCCCCUGCUCCCCAGACAGUACGCGCCUGUGCCUCGCCGUCGGCCGCUCCCUGCUCGACGUCGUUCCUCCUCUCCCUUCGUUCGUCAAUGAACUGCUCGAACGCAAGAACCGGAGGUUGAAGACAACUCAAAUUUUAUUUAAUUUUUUAAAAUCAUGUUUUAUGUAACUAUUUGUUUUAAUUUGUGUGUAUUGUGAUGUGUAUGUAAACGAUUGAUUUUAAGUGUAUGCGAUGAACUAGUAUC